GCGGGUGUAGUUAAGUGGUAUAACCUCAGCCUUCCAAGCUGAUGUCGAGAGUUCGAUUCUCUUCACCCGCUCCA
RNAcentral lists this transfer RNA (74 nucleotides) under Phocicoccus pinnipedialis. RNAcentral describes it as "Jeotgalicoccus pinnipedialis tRNA-Gly". It matches the Rfam family "tRNA". Rfam says of the family: Transfer RNA (tRNA) molecules are approximately 80 nucleotides in length. Their secondary structure includes four short double-helical elements and three loops (D, anti-codon, and T loops). RNAcentral also lists the same sequence under 2 other names. Lineage: Bacteria; Bacillati; Bacillota; Bacilli; Caryophanales; Salinicoccaceae. The record is from RNAcentral.